Molecule: long non-coding RNA, 149 nt
Organism: Camelus ferus (Wild Bactrian camel)
Lineage: Eukaryota; Metazoa; Chordata; Mammalia; Artiodactyla; Camelidae
Rfam family: T-cell leukemia/lymphoma 6 conserved region 3
Source: Rfam
CAGAGACACUGGAUUUACAUCCCAGACCCCGGCACACGGGGCCAGGAACAGCUGCUCUUCAAGAAACUAGUCAUGUACUUUUUUUCUCCCUCCUUCCUCCUUCUCCUUCUUGGAGUUGAUCAGAAGAGAAGUUGGGGAGGUAAGUGGGG